AGAAAAAAUAAGCAGUGUCUAAAGAAAAGUUCACCCCUGUCGUUCGUGGGCUAGAUCGAACGACUAAAACCCAUUCGUGCACAUAUCGUCUGAUUGAACAACCCAAAUCAUUUCAUGACUAAAAGUCAAAUGGACGGUCCAGAUUGCAUCCUACCUAAAAUGAUCUAACAACUAAAAUUUAAGGAAAUGUAAAAAGACCAAAAAGCCAUUAAUGAAAUCGUAGAUUCGACGGCCACAGUUGAAA
This 244-nucleotide long non-coding RNA is filed under the name Carica papaya (papaya). Its description in RNAcentral is "long non-coding RNA (CPAP_LNC001098)". The record is from RNAcentral. Lineage: Eukaryota; Viridiplantae; Streptophyta; Magnoliopsida; Brassicales; Caricaceae.